Molecule: small nucleolar RNA, 86 nt
Filed under: Brassica rapa (field mustard)
Lineage: Eukaryota; Viridiplantae; Streptophyta; Magnoliopsida; Brassicales; Brassicaceae
Source: RNAcentral
GUGAAGGCAGUGAUGAUGAAAAUCUACCUAUUUUAUGAGUAAAUCUCUGAUUAGAAAUUUUACCAAUGGAUCCUUCUGAGCCUUCA